This 468-nucleotide ribosomal RNA is filed under the name uncultured bacterium. Its description in RNAcentral is "partial 16S ribosomal RNA". It matches the Rfam family "Bacterial small subunit ribosomal RNA", at positions 28 to 507 of the family's 1533-position model. The record is from RNAcentral.
GACGAACGCUGGCGGCGUGCUUAAUACAUGCCAGUCGAACGGACAGGCCCUGCUUUUGUGGGGUGCUCGUGUGGCGCACGGGUGAGUAACACGUGAGUAACCUGCCCUUGACCUUGGGAUAACUUCAGGAGACUGGGGCUAAUACCGGAUAUGAGCUCCUGCUGCAUGGUGGGGGUUGGUAAGUUUCGGCGGUUGGGGAUGGACUCGCGGAUUAUCAGCUUGUUGGUGGGGUAGUGGCUUACCAAGGCUUUGACGGGUAGCCGGCCUGAGAGGGUGACCGGCCACAUUGGGACUGAGAGACGGCCCAGACUCCUACGGGAGGCAGCAGUGGGGAAUAUUGCAGAAUGAGCGGAAGCCCGAGGCAGCAACGCCGCGUGCGGGAUGACGGCCUUCGGGUGGUAAACCGCUUUCGCCUGUGACGAAGCGUGAGUGACGGUAAUGGGUAAAGAAGCACCGGCUAACUACGUG